This is a long non-coding RNA of Triplophysa rosa, 474 nucleotides long. RefSeq lists it as uncharacterized. The transcript has 3 exons. NCBI's taxonomy places the organism in Eukaryota, Metazoa, Chordata, Actinopteri, Cypriniformes, Nemacheilidae. The record is from RefSeq and is a predicted model, not a curated record.
GUGGAGUUAGAAAACCUGCCUGUGACGCCUUGCAUUAUUGUGUGUGUGGACCCUCCUGCUAUGCUGCUGUCCGAUUCAUGCUAGCUGUGGACCGCAAGAUUGUGAAUGAUGACAUCACUUCUUUCAUCUCUGCUGUUUGCCUAAUGUUCGACAGUUAUUACUGCUCCAACAUUAACUACCCUACUGAACUGGCGUCACUGCUUGAAUUCCUGCAAAGGUGUUUUUUCAUCAUCAAUCCGGAGAAAGGGAAUAAAGGAGGAAGAUGGAAAAGAAAAAAAAAGCUACUCCCAGUUAACCCAAGAGUCUUCACCCUAAUCGCUGACCUUUCUGAUCAUGAAUGGCGAGAGACUUUGUAAAGGUGGUCUGCAGACUGUUUCCAAGUUUAUACUCGGGGUGAGAGACUUUGUAAAGGUGGCCUGCAGAGUGUUUCCAAGUUUAUAAUCUCUUAAAGGGUUAUUUCAGACUUGAAUCAAA